GGCAGGUCGAGAAGGAAACAGUUACAUUUUUACGUUAGUUUUUAUGUUACUUAGGUACCUAUAUUUUGCAAACCGAUACUGAUUCUUAAACUUAUAUUUUUGCGGUUUUCAUUAUUCGAUUUAGAUAUGUGCAGCAGCUGCUGCCUAAUCGUGCCUACUUAGUAACUUGCAUUAUUUUUCUAGAUAAAUGGUUAAAACUGAGAAUUUGAGGGGAAACUGGUUUAUGCCUACGACUGAUACGACUGAUUGUUGAUUACAUAAAGGAAAGGCAUGAUUUGUAGAGCUACUUAAGAUUAUUCUUUCAAGUGUCAGUUAUCUUUAUGCAAGGAGUCAAUUCGUAUUGUACCUAUCUAAUAAUUGCUCAAACUAUCUGCAGGCAAAACAAAGCACUAAAUUAAAUGUAGGUACUCAUCAGUACCUAAUUGUUUCUUUUCCUGCCCCUCCUGGUCCAGAUAAUGAACGAAGAGAAAAAAAAAAUAGCCUCAGAACCUAUAGGUAGCAUGACAUCAUAUUUCUGUAUUUGUGUUUCGCAGUGUCUUGCUCUCACCCGUUUCUUGCAGCCCCAGCAGGGUCCGGUAUGAGAGCGGCCGCCAUCUUGCUCUGCCUUCUAUCGGCGGCAGCGGCGGCACCGUUCGGCUUUCUGCGACCCAAUCAGGCCACGGGCUCGGCGCAGGGGACGCUGACCUCUGGCAGCCAGCAAUUCCCUGGCGGCGGCAGCUCGCAGAUCGUUCAACAAUCGUCCGUCGCAGGGGGUUCUACGCAAGGCCUCGCUCAGAGUCAAAACCAGGCGUUCACUAGUCACCAGAGCUCGUCGGGUUUCUUCGGACAACAGUCGGCUUCAAAUACCGGCGCAGUGUCUAACCAACAGACCGGUUCCAAUUUCGGAUACCCCUUCCAGGGAAACUUCGGAUAAAAUUAGCGUAAUGAUUUACAAUAUAUCACUGUGUUGUUAAUAUUGUAUUUUUGUUUGUUUUGCACCUAAGCUUAAGAGUGUCCGUGGGUGUUAUUAGUUUGUUGACUGGUUGCAUGCACGGAAUACGAGCUGGCUGAAAGGAGUGACGAAAUUGAAAUUUUGUGAAUUGUGAUGUAUUGUGAUAGCUUGUCUUCGAUAUAGUUUGUUUCUUCAACCAAGGAAGAUCGGGUAGUGGAUACCUUCGUUAGAUUGUUAUGGGUGUGUAAUGAAUGCCUAAACGAGAAUAGCUGAAGCUCUUCAUACUGUAAUUUUUGUGUGUAGUUCCGAGAUGUUUUCAGGUACGCUUGGAAGACUUUUAUGUAGCCUUUGAAGUUUACAUGUUUAGUUAUUUUGUAAUUUUAGAUAAGGGCAGAAAUGCCACUGCAAAUACAAAAGGUACAUAAUA
Long non-coding RNA from Amphibalanus amphitrite, 1358 nucleotides. RefSeq lists it as uncharacterized. The record is from RefSeq and is a predicted model, not a curated record. The transcript has 2 exons. Lineage: Eukaryota; Metazoa; Arthropoda; Thecostraca; Balanomorpha; Balanidae.